AACGAACGCUGGCGGCAGGCUUAACACAUGCAAGUCGAGCGCCCCGCAAGGGGAGCGGCAGACGGGUGAGUAACGCGUGGGAAUCUACCCAUCUCUACGGAACAACUCCGGGAAACUGGAGCUAAUACCGUAUACGUCCGUAAGGAGAAAGAUUUAUCGGAGAUGGAUGAGCCCGCGUUGGAUUAGCUAGUUGGUGGGGUAAUGGCCUACCAAGGCGACGAUCCAUAGCUGGUCUGAGAGGAUGAUCAGCCACACUGGGACUGAGACACGGCCCAGACUCCUACGGGAGGCAGCAGUGGGGAAUAUUGGACAAUGGGCGCAAGCCUGAUCCAGCCAUGCCGCGUGAGUGAUGAAGGCCCUAGGGUUGUAAAGCUCUUUCACCGGUGAAGAUAAUGACGGUAACCGGAGAAGAAGCCCCGGCUAACUUCGUGCCAGCAGCCGCGGUAAUACGAAGGGGGCUAGCGUUGUUCGGAAUUACUGGGCGUAAAGCGCACGUAGGCGGAUAUUUAAGUCAGGGGUGAAAUCCCGAGGCUCAACCUCGGAACUGCCUUUGAUACUGGGUAUCUGGAGUCCGGAAGAGGUGAGUGGAAUUCCGAGUGU
Molecule: ribosomal RNA, 600 nt
Filed under: Mesorhizobium sp. SA12T
Lineage: Bacteria; Pseudomonadati; Pseudomonadota; Alphaproteobacteria; Hyphomicrobiales; Phyllobacteriaceae
Description: bacterial SSU rRNA
Rfam family: Bacterial small subunit ribosomal RNA
Source: RNAcentral